RNAcentral lists this ribosomal RNA (275 nucleotides) under uncultured Rubellimicrobium sp. RNAcentral's name for it is "partial 16S ribosomal RNA". It matches the Rfam family "Bacterial small subunit ribosomal RNA", at positions 338 to 630 of the family's 1533-position model. Lineage: Bacteria; Pseudomonadati; Pseudomonadota; Alphaproteobacteria; Rhodobacterales; Roseobacteraceae. The record is from RNAcentral.
CCUACGGGUGGCUGCAGUGGGGAAUCUUAGACAAUGGGGGCAACCCUGAUCUAGCCAUGCCGCGUGGAUGACGAAGGCCUUAGGGUCGUAAAGUCCUUUCGCCGGGGAAGAUAAUGACGGUACCCGGAGAAGAAGCCCCGGCUAACUCCGUGCCAGCAGCCGCGGUAAUACGGAGGGGGCUAGCGUUGUUCGGAAUGACUGGGCGUAAAGAGCGCGUAGGCGGGCGAUCAAGUCGGGGGUGAAAUCCCGGGGCUCAACCCCGGAAUGGCCUUCGA